Molecule: long non-coding RNA, 393 nt
Filed under: Setaria italica (foxtail millet)
Lineage: Eukaryota; Viridiplantae; Streptophyta; Magnoliopsida; Poales; Poaceae
Description: long non-coding RNA (SITA_LNC004034)
Source: RNAcentral
UCGAGGCGGUCAUGGUGCAGCCGGCGGACGAGUUGCGUAGGCUGCUGCCGAGUGAUUGCGCCGGCUCCUGUUGCACCUGACAUCGCCACCGCACUCUAUUACCUGCAUCAAUACUCAAAUCCAAUCCCCAAAAAUUAAAUCAGAAUUCACCGAGCCACAAAUCGAGUUGCUCACCGUCAAAACCAAACUCACGCACAUCGAAUCAAAGCCUUCAGCCAUUCAAUUCAAGAUUGUCACUAAAAGAAUCAAAGGGCCGCGAGAUGAGGCGUGAUGGUGUGGGCGGCGUGGUUUUUGACGGCGAUGCCGUUCCUGACCGCGGGCGACCCGGGGAGGCCCUCUUCACCUUGCCGCGCUGCACCUCGCUUGCUCCUGCGGUGGCAAGGCUAGUCCUUC